RNAcentral lists this ribosomal RNA (207 nucleotides) under uncultured bacterium. Its description in RNAcentral is "partial 16S ribosomal RNA". It matches the Rfam family "Bacterial small subunit ribosomal RNA", at positions 568 to 774 of the family's 1533-position model. The record is from RNAcentral.
CGCGUAGGCGGUCUGGUCAGUCGGAUGUGAAAGCCCCGGGCUUAACCUGGGAACUGCAUUCGAUACUGCCAAACUAGAAUGUUGGAGAGGGAAGUGGAAUUUCCGGUGUAGCGGUGAAAUGCGUAGAGAUCGGAAGGAACACCAGUGGCGAAGGCGGCUUCCUGGCCAAACAUUGACGCUGAGGUGCGAAAGCGUGGGUAGCGAACA